This is a long non-coding RNA of Pelodiscus sinensis (Chinese soft-shelled turtle), 1476 nucleotides long. RefSeq lists it as uncharacterized. The record is from RefSeq and is a predicted model, not a curated record. Lineage: Eukaryota; Metazoa; Chordata; Testudines; Trionychidae.
CAGUUAUGCUGUAGACUCAGUACUGAACUGAGGUGUCUUUCUAAUGCAAAAGGGGAAGCCUCCCUUCAUAAAAUACGGGAAAGGAAAAAAAGUUGAGGCAGAAGCUUGGAACCAAGAAAAGACAGGUUGAGAACACAGUCGAGCCCAUCAUAAGCCCCGUGUGUGGAGGUUCAGAUGUGGGGUAUCAUGUACAAUACUCCAGGGGAGAGAGUUGGAGACCCAUGUACAUGCAAAGACGUGAAGGACCCUGAGCCCAGAAGGAAUAGUUAGAGAUGACGGAUGAAGAUAAGGGCAUGCAUUUCAUCACUGAGAAAUCACGUCCUAAUUCUCUACAUGUUAAGGCUCUUUACUUUGAAUGUAAGCUCUGCAGGGAAUAUACUGUCUUUUUCUUUAGACGUUUAUACAGCACCUACCACAAUGAGACCACAGUCUUUGAUAGAGGUGCCUAAAUGGUACCAAAAUACAAGAGAUUAUUAUCUAAUCAAAAGAGGUCUUGACCUAGCCAGACAACUUGAGCAGUCCAAUUGAAUUCACUGUGUCUUUUCACAUUCAUGUAUAAAUAUUUUCAGAAUUAGGGACCCAAUCAGUAGCAGAGUUGGUAUUAGCAUUCAAGAGUUUUAUUAACUUUCAGUCCACUUGAUGAACUAUACCGCACUGCUUUAGAUACUGCGUUUUGAAAGAAAAAAACUAGUCUGUCUCUUUCUAAGAAGAGUAAAGAGUCUUUAAUAGGUUUGUUAUACUUCUCAACGUAAAUUUGGAACCUUAUUGGUUCAUAAUUUGGACUAGGCCCUUUAAAUGGCUUUUCAAUUCAGUAUUAAACGGUGAAGACAAUAAGACUUUAAAGGUCAUUGAAAUGGCUUUUCACGAGGCUUAUUCACUAGGGGGAACGUAAAUAUUAUACCCAUUUUAUAGCUAGAUAAAGUGAUAUAGGAAUUCCCUUGUGUAAGUGCUGGAGACAGAUGCCAGGAGUUUGUCUGAAGGGCCUUUUGAAAACAAUGAAUUACUUGUGUCUGGCCAGAUUGACUCUAGGGGUAUAUUUGUGCUUCAAGAGGAAUGGUGUCAGAGCCUGGGAUCCAACCUGAUCCUGAACAGCUACACUGCAAUUUUAUAGUCUGGCAGCUAAGCCCUUUAAGCCCAAGUCAGCUGACCCAGGCCAGCCACAGGGUAUGUCUCCACUGCAAUAAGACCUAUGUGACUGUGUGUAGGUGACAACUUCUCCAUGCUUUGUUUGACUAAAUUCUAAAAUGUCUGUAGCAAUAGUUGGAUCACAAAAAGGCAGAUUUCCAGUUCCCUGAUCUAACAACAAAACAUACUGCCCCGCAUGCUUCCUAAGUCAUGCUGAAAGAGCCUAAUGUCCCUUUUGACAAAAGCAUGUUACUAGUGUGAUGUGCUCUGAUUUCUGGGAGUAAGCGUGUAGAAAGAAAUGUCUCGUUCUAUGGCUUUUGAAAAGUGUUGUGCGAAAAAGAAAAUCACAUU